GACGAACCGAGCGAACGUUGUUCGGAAUCACUGGGCUUAAAGGGCGCGUAGGCGGGCUGCCAAGUCCGGGGUGAAAUCCUCCGGCUUAACCGGAGAAUGGCCUCGGAUACUGGCGGCCUGGAGGGGGGUAGGGGCGUGCGGAACUGUGGGUGGAGCGGUGAAAUGCGUUGAGAUCCACAGGAACUCCGGUGGCGAAGGCGGCACGCUGGACCCUUUCUGACGCUGAGGCGCGAAAGCCAGGGGAGCGAACGGG
This 253-nucleotide ribosomal RNA is filed under the name uncultured bacterium. Its description in RNAcentral is "partial 16S ribosomal RNA". It matches the Rfam family "Bacterial small subunit ribosomal RNA", at positions 524 to 776 of the family's 1533-position model. The record is from RNAcentral.